CCUACGGGAGGCAGCAGUGGGGAAUAUUGGACAAUGGGCGAAAGCCUGAUCCAGCAAUGCCGCGUGAGUGAAGAAGGCCUUCGGGUUGUAAAGCUCUUUUACCCGGGAAGAUAAUGACUGUACCGGGAGAAUAAGCCCCGGCUAACUCCGUGCCAGCAGCCGCGGUAAUACGGAGGGGCUAGCGUUGUUCGGAAUUACUGGGCGUAAAGCGUACGUAGGCGGCUUUGUAAGUCAGAGGUGAAAGCCCACGACUCAAUCGUGGAACUGCCUUUGAGACUGCUUCGCUUGAAGAUGGGAGAGGUUAGUGGAAUUCCGAGUGUAGAGGUGAAAUUCGUAGAUAUUCGGAAGAACACCAGUGGCGAAGGCGGCUAAACUGGACCAUUCUUGACGCUGAGGUACGAAAGCGUGGGAGCAAACAGGAUUAGAUACCCUGGUAGUCCACGCCGUAAACGAUGAUAACUAGCUGUCGGGGCUCUUGGUAGCGUCGGUGGCGCGAGACUAACGACAUUAAGUUAAGUUACCGUCCGUCGGGUAGGUACGGUACCGGCGAACGGUUAAAACGUAACGUAAACUAAGAAGUUAGUACGGACGUGAGACGUACGACCGAACGGACGACGACGAGGGAGUAGG
This 630-nucleotide ribosomal RNA is filed under the name uncultured bacterium. RNAcentral describes it as "bacterial SSU rRNA". The stretch from base 1 to 525 matches the Rfam family "Bacterial small subunit ribosomal RNA", at positions 338 to 873 of the family's 1533-position model. The record is from RNAcentral.